AACGAACGCUGGCGGCAUGCCUAACACAUGCAAGUCGAACGAGAACAUCGGGCAUCUUGGUGCAUCGCUGCGUAACGCGUGGGGGCCUGCCCUUGGGUUCGGAACAACUCGCCGAAAGGGGUGCUAAUAUCGGAUCAUGUCCUCGGACCGAAGAUUUUUCGACUUUGGAUGGGGCCGAGUUGGAUUAGCUAGGUAGUAGGGUAAGAGCCUACCAAGGCGACGAUUCAUAGCUGGUCCGUGAGGAAGAUCAGCCACACCUGGGCUGGGACACGGCCCAGACUACUGCGGAAGGGAGGAAUGGGGAAUAUUGGACAGUGGGGUGAAGCCUGAACGAGCAAUGCCGGGUGAGUGAUGAAGGCCUGGGGGUUGUAAAGAUCUUUUACACGGGAGGAUAUUGACGGUACCGGGAGAAUAAGCACCGGCUAACUCCGUG
Molecule: ribosomal RNA, 433 nt
Filed under: uncultured bacterium
Lineage: Bacteria
Description: partial 16S ribosomal RNA
Rfam family: Bacterial small subunit ribosomal RNA
Source: RNAcentral